RNAcentral lists this ribosomal RNA (1002 nucleotides) under Triticum aestivum (bread wheat). RNAcentral's name for it is "partial small subunit ribosomal RNA". The record is from RNAcentral. Lineage: Eukaryota; Viridiplantae; Streptophyta; Magnoliopsida; Poales; Poaceae.
AUGAGGUACACGAGGCACGAGCUGGAGGCGCUCAGCGGCGCGCCGUCGCGGGAGGCGCAGGCGCUGCGGUGGGCCGAGGCGUACGCGGCCCUCGCCGCCGCGGGCUUCUCCGGGGACUACGACGGCCUCCUCGCCUCCGACGAGCCGCUGACCAGGAGGGGGAAGAAGGUCUCCGGGGGCGGGAAGAAGAGGGCCGAGGCGGCGGCGCGCCAGUUCUCCGAGGCGACGGAGGUGGGUGCCUGGAGAAACGGGGAUUCGGGGGUUCAUCAGGCGGCUGGAGAGCCGUUUGAUCAGGGUGGGGAUGUGGAGUAUGAAGAUGACAGUGAUGAUGAGUAUGAUGGCAUUUUGAAGCCUGCCUUUGCUGUUGAUGGGGAGCCUGAUUUCGAGUCCGGCGAGCCGCUUGACGGUUUCGAGUAUCUCCGGCGUGUCAGGUGGGAAGCUAACCAGAUUCCUAAAGUGAAGGUGGCCAAGAUAGAUUUGAGUGCAGCUAGAAAGGAGCAAACACCUUAUAUGCCAGAAAUUCCUGACAUACCAAAGUGUUCACCUGAUUUAUGUGCAUCAAAGGAAUGGGAGGACUCGUUUAUUACUUAUUUUUCAGAGACAAGGCUGGCAUUCUUGGAACUUGACAGCUCGGAUGGACCAUCUGUAUCAGGAGCGGUGAAUAGCCCCUGUAAACCUGGCAUCAGCUUUGAGCCGCAGAUUGACCCGACGCUGACGAUGAUUCGCAAAAUGGACGCAGUUUCAAGAGCUGCAACACUGCGCAACUACAUCGACAUGAUCCAAAGCUUUGACAUGCUAUCAAGGAAUGACUGCCUGUGGCUGUUUGCGCUAUGCGUCGCUGUCGAGCCGCCCUUGGACGCAGAGACAUGCGCGUCACUGAGGUCGAUGCUGCGCAAGUGCUCAACCAUCCUCGCCACCAAGUCGGAGAUGGACGAUGAAGUCGUGAUGCUGAACAUACUCGUGGCCAUCUCAGGUUUGUACUUCGGGCAGUAUGAGAAGUAG